Molecule: ribosomal RNA, 434 nt
Filed under: uncultured Lachnospiraceae bacterium
Lineage: Bacteria; Bacillati; Bacillota; Clostridia; Lachnospirales; Lachnospiraceae
Description: bacterial SSU rRNA
Rfam family: Bacterial small subunit ribosomal RNA
Source: RNAcentral
ACGGGAGGCAGCAGUGGGGAAUAUUGGACAAUGGGGGAAACCCUGAUCCAGCGACGCCGCGUGAGUGAAGAAGUAUUUCGGUAUGUAAAGCUCUAUCAGCAAGGAAGAAAAUGACGGUACUUGACUAAGAAGCUCCGGCUAAAUACGUGCCAGCAGCCGCGGUAAUACGUAUGGAGCAAGCGUUAUCCGGAUUUACUGGGUGUAAAGGGUGUGUAGGCGGCGAAGUAAGUCAGAAGUGAAAGACCGGGGCUCAACUCCGGGGCUGCUUUUGAAACUGCAUUGCUGGAGUCCAGGAGAGGCAGGCGGAAUUCCUAGUGUAGCGGUGAAAUGCGUAGAUAUUAGGAAGAACACCGGUGGCGAAGGCGGCCUGCUGGACUGGUACUGACGCUGAGGCACGAAAGCGUGGGGAGCAAACAGGAUUAGAUACCCUGGUA